AAACGUCGUAGCGGCUGAGUAAAUGCCUGGGUAAUCGUGUCGCUUAACGAUACGAAUCCGGGUAGACUGCUUAGCUUGAGACUGGAGAAGCUAGAGGUACUCCUGGGGUAGAGGUGAAAUUCUGUAAUCCUGGGGGGACCACCAGUGGCGAAAGCGUCUAGCUAGAACGGGUCUGACGGUGAGGGACGAAACCCUGGGGCGCGAAC
RNAcentral lists this ribosomal RNA (206 nucleotides) under uncultured archaeon. Its description in RNAcentral is "partial 16S ribosomal RNA". It matches the Rfam family "Archaeal small subunit ribosomal RNA", at positions 513 to 724 of the family's 1478-position model. The record is from RNAcentral.